Molecule: non-coding RNA, 1526 nt
Organism: Aegilops tauschii subsp. strangulata
Lineage: Eukaryota; Viridiplantae; Streptophyta; Magnoliopsida; Poales; Poaceae
Source: RefSeq, a predicted model, not a curated record
UGGAUAGUUCCCCACCACUGCCUCACAAUCUCCUCCGUUCCCCAUUCUCUCCACCACAACCAGCGCUCCCUGGUCAGGCCGCCCCCUCCCCUUCGUCACCACCGCCGGCGCUCCCUGGUCAGGCUGCCCUCCCCUUCGUCACCAGCGUCGCCGCUCCCUAGCAGGCCGCCCCUCCCCUUCGAAUCAGAUCACAGAAGUGGCCGAGGAGGUCCUCGAGCUCGGCAUGCUCGCGCCAGUGCUAGGCGCCGUUGGAUGCGGACGCGGAGGCUCGGGACUUGCACGCCCUACUCUACCCUGUUCCUUCCAAUCCGGCCCCGAAGUGCUCGAGGAGGCGCUCGAGGUCGGCAUGCUCACCGGCGACGCUGGGUCCCUCCAUCCUCCUGGUUCCCUCGCCAUCGCCAACAUGAGCCUCUCCACCCUCUCCCGCGCGAUCGUCCAGGUCCAGGUAAUCUCUCUCUCCCUGACCCUGCCGUAUGCUCCUCCCCGUCAAUUCGGUUAGUCGCCAGGUGCAUCGCCUCACUGAGAUAUCACCAUGAAUAUUCCUUUUCAAGACUGUCCAUAUUUUGUUCUGUUAAAGGGCUUUGUUAGAAAAUCUGAUUUAACUGAGUAUUAUUCUGCUCUAAAUUGCGGCCCCUUCUGGUUGUGAGUGGAUCCAAGAGUUCACAUGAUGCAGUAUCUUUUUGAAAGAUGAUACAUUAUCUUCAUAAAAGAAAGGAAGUUGGAGGAGUUAUUAUUGAAGAGGGAUUCAGUGGUAUGUGCUUCUCAAGAGCUAAACUGGAACAAGAAGUGCAUGACUCUCAUGCCUACACUAACUAAUCAGACUUCCCGAAGGAGAAGAAGGAGGUGCGGAAAGAGGAUGGGAGCAACAAAUCUGAAUCAAAGAGGGUGAGAAUUACUUAUCGAUGACUCGGGCAUCAACUCUUGAUUUUCGGCGGAAGAAACAGGGUCAGAACAACUGGUCUGGGCUGUUGCGCCUAGUAAAUGUCAUCAGAAAUAAAUUCCCUACCUACAAGAAUGGUACGAAUGGGAUAGUCAUCAAAUUUGCUGAUGAGCCAGAAACGCCAUGACUUAAGGAGUCUGUUGCCAAAGAGACAGCAGAUCUGCUUGAUCGGCGUCAGCGUCUUUCAGUCCGCGAGCUCGCAAUGAAAUUUGAGAAGGGCCUCAGUACUGCCACAUUAUUAUCUAAUGAGGUUAAAUGUAAACAAGUGGCUUUAUUGGAGCGAGACAUCCUUCUGAAGAAUCUAAAGAGUGUAUUGGAGUCACUGAGAGGACAAGUAGCUGGCAAAUAUAAGGAUGAAUUUGAGGAAUCAGUAUCUAUGGUUGGUUUUUCUUCUUUUGAACCAUAUUUACAACCACGUGAAGGAUUAUUGUUCCUCAGUGCAUUUUUAGAGUAUCUUUAAUGACGCUGCAAGUGUUCUAAACUAACCAAUAUGGUUUCUUAAAAGAAGUCUCCAGCUAAAUAUAUAUGCCUAAAUCAUCCCUUUGUUUGUGAGCACUUUAAUAGUUUGACACUUUCUAUAGGUGGA